This 1497-nucleotide ribosomal RNA is filed under the name Issus coleoptratus. Its description in RNAcentral is "SSU rRNA". Lineage: Eukaryota; Metazoa; Arthropoda; Insecta; Hemiptera; Issidae. The record is from RNAcentral.
GCAGCAGGCGCGCAAAUUACCCACUCCCGGCACGGGGAGGUAGUGACGAAAAAUAACGAUACGGGACUCAUCCGAGGCCCCGUAAUCGGAAUGAGUAUACUCUAAAUCCUUAUACGAGUAUCAAUUGGAGGGCAAGUCUGGUGCCAGCAGCCGCGGUAAUUCCAGCUCCAAUAGCGUAUAUUAAAGUUGUUGCGGUUAAAAAGCUCGUAGUUGGAUCUGUGUCCCGCACCGUCGGUUCACCGCCUGUCGGUGUUACACUGGCGUGUAUGCGGGACGUCCUGCCGGUGGCGGUCCGGUUCUCCGUCGGUUGUAGGGGUCGUCCUUGCUUCGGCUCGCGUCGUCCCCGAAGGCCUUCGGUGUAUCCGGCCGCCUUUUCGAUCCCGUCGCGGUGCUCUUUACCGAGUGUCGAGGCGGGCCGGCACGUUUACUUUGAACAAAUUAGAGUGCUUUAAGCAGGCCCUGUCCCGCCUGUAUGUUGUGUGCAUGGAAUAAUGGAAUAGGACCUCGGUUCUAUUUUGUUGGUUUUCGGAAUCUGAGGUAAUGAUCAAUGGGGACAGGCGGGGGCAUUCGUAUUGCGACGUUAGAGGUGAAAUUCUUGGAUCGUCGCAAGACGGACCGAAGCGAAAGCAUUUGCCAAGUAUGUUCUCGUCGAUCAAGAACGAAAGUUAGAGGUUCGAAGGCGAUCAGAUACCGCCCUAGUUCUAACCAUAAACUAUGCCUGCCAGCGAUCCGCCGAAGUUCCUCCGAUGACUCGGCGGGCAGCUUCCGGGAAACCAGAGCUUUUGGGUUCCGGGGGAAGUAUGGUUGCAAAGCUGAAACUUAAAGGAAUUGACGGAAGGGCACCACCAGGAGUGGAGCCUGCGGCUUAAUUUGACUCAACACGGGAAAACUCACCAGGCCCGGACACCGGAAGGAUUGACAGAUUGAGAGCUCUUUCUUGAUUCGGUGGGUGGUGGUGCAUGGCCGUUCUUAGUKGGUGGAGCGAUUUGUCUGGUUAAUUCCGAUAACGAACGAGACUCUAGCCUACUAACUAGGCGUACCCGGUAUCCACAAUCGUGCUACCGGCGAUCAAAUUUCUUCUUAGAGGGACAGGCGGCUUCUAGCCGCACGAGACUGAGCAAUAACAGGUCUGUGAUGCCCUUAGAUGUCCUGGGCCGCACGCGCGCUACACUGAAGGAAUCAGCGUGUCUUCCCUGUCCGAAAGGACCGGGUAACCCGCUGAACCUCCUUUGUGCUAGGGAUUGGGGCUUGCAAUUGUUCCCCAUGAACGAGGAAUUCCCAGUAAGCGCGAGUCAUAAGCUCGCGUUGAUUACGUCCCUGCCCUUUGUACACACCGCCCGUCGCUACUACCGAUUGAAUGAUUUAGUGAGGUCUUCGGACUGGUGCGCGGAGGCCGCUUAUGCGGUCUCCGAUGUUGCCGGAAAGAUGACCAAACUUGAUCAUUUAGAGGAAGUAAAAGUCGUAACAAGGUUUCCGUAGGUGAACCUGCGGGAAGGA